RNAcentral lists this ribosomal RNA (428 nucleotides) under uncultured Pseudomonadota bacterium. RNAcentral's name for it is "uncultured proteobacterium partial 16S ribosomal RNA". It matches the Rfam family "Bacterial small subunit ribosomal RNA", at positions 355 to 774 of the family's 1533-position model. The record is from RNAcentral. Lineage: Bacteria; Pseudomonadati; Pseudomonadota.
UGGGGAAUCUUGCGCAAUGGACGAAAGUCUGACGCAGCCACGCCGCGUGAGUGAAGAAGGCCUUAGGGUUGUAAAGCUCUGUCGCCUGGGACGAAAAAUAUUAGGGUUAACAGCCCUAGUAUCUGACGGUACCAGGAAAGGAAGCACCGGCUAACUCCGUGCCAGCAGCCGCGGUAAUACGGAGGGUGCAAGCGUUGCUCGGAAUUAUUGGGCGUAAAGGGUAGGUAGGUGGUCUCAUUUGUCUGGGGUGAAAGCCUUGAGCUUAACUCAAGAAGUGCCCCAGAAACGGUGAGACUGGAGUCCUGGAGAGGGUCGUGGAAUUCCCGGUGUAGCGGUGAAAUGCGUAGAGAUCGGGAGGAACACCAGAGGCGAAAGCGGCGACCUGGACAGGUACUGACACUCAACUACGAAAGCGUGGGGAGCAAACA